UGCUUGCACCUGGUGGCGAGUGGCGAACGGSUGAKUAAUACAUCGGAACAUGUCCUGUAGUGGGGGAUAGCCCGGCGAAAGCCGGAUUAAUACCGCAUACGAUCUACGGAUGAAAGCGGGGGACCUUCGGGCCUCGCGCUAUAGGGUUGGCCGAUGGCUGAUUAGCUAGUUGGUGGGGUAAAGGCCUACCAAGGCGACGAUCAGUAGCUGGUCUGAGAGGACGACCAGCCACACUGGGACUGAGACACGGCCCAGACUCCUACGGGAGGCAGCAGUGGGGAAUUUUGGACAAUGGGCGAAAGCCUGAUCCAGCAAUGCCGCGUGUGUGAAGAAGGCCUUCGGGUUGUAAAGCACUUUUGUCCGGAAAGAAAUCCUUGACYCUAAUACGGUCGGGGGAUGACGGUAYYKGAAGAAUAAGCACCGGCUAACUACGUGCCAGCAGCCGCGGUAAUACGUAGGGUGCGAGCGUUAAUCGGAAUUACUGGGCGUAAAGCGUGCGCAGGCGGUUUGCUAAGACCGAUGUGAAAUCCCCGGGCUCAACCUGGGAACUGCAUUGGUGACU
RNAcentral lists this ribosomal RNA (562 nucleotides) under Burkholderia sp. RZ1MS4. RNAcentral describes it as "bacterial SSU rRNA". It matches the Rfam family "Bacterial small subunit ribosomal RNA", at positions 77 to 634 of the family's 1533-position model. Lineage: Bacteria; Pseudomonadati; Pseudomonadota; Betaproteobacteria; Burkholderiales; Burkholderiaceae. The record is from RNAcentral.